This 630-nucleotide ribosomal RNA is filed under the name uncultured Lachnospiraceae bacterium. RNAcentral's name for it is "bacterial SSU rRNA". It matches the Rfam family "Bacterial small subunit ribosomal RNA", at positions 94 to 742 of the family's 1533-position model. Lineage: Bacteria; Bacillati; Bacillota; Clostridia; Lachnospirales; Lachnospiraceae. The record is from RNAcentral.
AGUGGCGGACGGGUGAGUAACGCGUGGGUAACCUGCCUUGUACAGGGGGAUAACAGUCAGAAAUGACUGCUAAUACCGCAUAAGCGCACAGGACCGCAUGGUCCGGUGUGAAAAACUCCGGUGGUAUAAGAUGGACCCGCGUUGGAUUAGCUAGUUGGCAGGGUAACGGCCUACCAAGGCGACGAUCCAUAGCCGGCCUGAGAGGGUGAACGGCCACAUUGGGACUGAGACACGGCCCAGACUCCUACGGGAGGCAGCAGUGGGGAAUAUUGCACAAUGGGGGAAACCCUGAUGCAGCGACGCCGCGUGAAGGAAGAAGUAUCUCGGUAUGUAAACUUCUAUCAGCAGGGAAGAAAAUGACGGUACCUGACUAAGAAGCCCCGGCUAACUACGUGCCAGCAGCCGCGGUAAUACGUAGGGGGCAAGCGUUAUCCGGAUUUACUGGGUGUAAAGGGAGCGUAGACGGAUGGACAAGUCUGAUGUGAAAGGCUGGGGCUCAACCCCGGGACUGCAUUGGAAACUGCCCGUCUUGAGUGCCGGAGAGGUAAGCGGAAUUCCUAGUGUAGCGGUGAAAUGCGUAGAUAUUAGGAGGAACACCAGUGGCGAAGGCGGCUUACUGGACGGUAACUG